AAAAUUAGAAAGAAACACCAUUUUGAUGGUUAAAAAAUGUGAAAGAAAACAAAAAAUGAGGAUGAAAAAGAAUUGAAAAAAAUGAAAAAAAAAAAUAUAAAGAAAAGUGGUAGCAAGGGCUUGCACCCAGGACAUGGGGGUAGGAGGCAUGAUGCUAAAACAAUCCCCCCACGAUCCUAUUGUUGAUAACCAAAUACAUCUAAAUAUAUAUAAUAUAUAAUGCUUUGUAAAACUGAAAAAGAACAAAAAAACAUGAAAAAAUGCAAAAAAAAAGGGUGCGCACGGGUUCAAGCUUAGGUCAUGAUGGUUGGGAAACCGAGUCUCAACCCCUACACCAUGACCAUUU
This 346-nucleotide long non-coding RNA is filed under the name Lathyrus oleraceus (garden pea). RNAcentral describes it as "Pisum sativum (pea) long non-coding RNA (PSAT_LNC004437)". The record is from RNAcentral. Lineage: Eukaryota; Viridiplantae; Streptophyta; Magnoliopsida; Fabales; Fabaceae.